GGGCCCGACCGGUUUUGACAGUGAGCGCGGUGGGUAAGUAAGCAUGUAGUGCGUUGUGGAUAUGGCACUUUAAUCCUAAUUCUCAAAACUAUAAUUGGCGAAGAGAAUUCUUACGCUAUGGCUGCUUAAUCAACUCAGUUGAUUCGGCCUUUGCAAACUCAGUAGCGUUUCUGCUUAGCGAUUGAGACCUUGCAUCAUAAAAUGGCAGGUUGUUUUAGUGAUGAUGUUAUCUAAAGCAAUAUUAGCAUCUAAGUUUAGCUUUGGUUUGAAUUUAUGCCUGGGUUAAAUCGAAAAUUAAAUAAGUUCUAAACGUGUAGAAAGCUUAUCAACUCCUUAUUUGGACCAGGGUUCGAAUCCCUGCGGGUCCACAA
Molecule: transfer-messenger RNA, 371 nt
Filed under: Bacteroidia
Lineage: Bacteria; Pseudomonadati; Bacteroidota
Also listed under: 1 other name
Description: JAFLBH01 sp016787445 Standard tmRNA
Rfam family: transfer-messenger RNA
About the family: Bacterial tmRNA, also known as 10Sa RNA or SsrA, is named for its dual tRNA and mRNA-like properties. Its role is to liberate the mRNA from a stalled ribosome.
Source: RNAcentral